Molecule: ribosomal RNA, 301 nt
Filed under: uncultured bacterium
Lineage: Bacteria
Description: partial 16S ribosomal RNA
Rfam family: Bacterial small subunit ribosomal RNA
Source: RNAcentral
CAGUCGCCGCGGUAAUACGUAGGUGGCAAGCGUUGUCCGGAAUUAUUGGGCGUAAAGGGCUCGCAGGCGGUUUCUUAAGUCUGAUGUGAAAGCCCCCGGCUCAACCGGGGAGGGUCAUUGGAAACUGGGAAACUUGAGUGCAGAAGAGGAGAGUGGAAUUCCACGUGUAGCGGUGAAAUGCGUAGAGAUGUGGAGGAACACCAGUGGCGAAGGCGACUCUCUGGUCUGUAACUGACGCUGAGGAGCGAAAGCGUGGGGAGCGAACAGGAUUAGAUACCCGCGUAGUCCCUGUCUCUUAUAA